Molecule: RNase P RNA, 149 nt
Filed under: Bacillota bacterium
Lineage: Bacteria; Bacillati; Bacillota
Description: Firmicutes bacterium (anaerobic digester metagenome) partial RNase P RNA component class A
Rfam family: Bacterial RNase P class A
About the family: Ribonuclease P (RNase P) is a ubiquitous endoribonuclease, found in archaea, bacteria and eukarya as well as chloroplasts and mitochondria. Its best characterised activity is the generation of mature 5'-ends of tRNAs by cleaving the 5'-leader elements of precursor-tRNAs. Cellular RNase Ps are ribonucleoproteins.
Source: RNAcentral
UGAGUGAACCGGAUGAUCGCGAAGGGUUACCCUUUGAGGAAAGUCCGAGCUCCACAGGGCAGGAUGCUGGGUAACACCCAGUGGAGGCGACUCUAAGGCUAGUGCCACAGAAAUAUACCGCCUUGGUGGUUUUCCGCCGAGGUAAGGGU